GUGUCUGUAGAUUUUAUUUUUUUUUUAACAUGGCAUUUAUUUUCUACUUUUUUCAUUUAGCGAACACUGCUCAGGAGAAUGCAGGCCAAAUCAACUAACACCAACCCUGAGGUCACACCAACCCCAACUGUAUCGAGCACCCUGAUGAACUGAUGAGCUUUUUUUCCAGAGAAGCUGGAGGUGUUUCAGGAAAUUCACACUGUUCUCAUUUUCAUCAAUGUGAAAUCAUGAAAAUCAGGGAAGAAUAUGUGACAAACACUGUGUUCCUUUUCUUGACUAGUUAGAAAAAUCGUUAUUGUAAUGAUUAGACUUUCAAAUAAAUCUUUGUGCAUCAAAAAAAAU
RNAcentral lists this long non-coding RNA (342 nucleotides) under Astyanax mexicanus (Mexican tetra). RNAcentral's name for it is "lncRNA (ENSAMXG00005015148.1)". Lineage: Eukaryota; Metazoa; Chordata; Actinopteri; Characiformes; Acestrorhamphidae. The record is from RNAcentral.